UAUAAUAUCACUCAAACAUCAAUCUUUCCUUCAGAAUGAAACAACAGAUAUAAAAAUUCAUCUCCACUGAUAGAAAUAAUCAUUUUAGGAAUUGUGUCCAAAGUAGAAUAAAUUACAAAUUGUAGGAGCAAAACUACAGAGAUUCAUCAUCCAUCCUCAAGAGUAAGUAUUAACCGAAAAUUUGGGAUUUUUCGGAUAAAACAAACAGAGACACAUAUGCAGAAGAAGAAUAGACAGAGAUCAGAACAUAAAAACAUGAUUUAUUUUUGGAAACGGAUCAAAUCAGGAAAAAUAAAAAUAGAGGAGCCUAAGGGAAGUCUCUAAAUUGGUACCUGCUCGGGUUGAGAAGAGGACCUCUCCCACUUUUCCAUAACCAAAGCAAAGAUUAUUAUCAGAGACAAUGUAAGGAGCAGCAGCGACCUCUCCCACUUUUCCAUAACCAAAGCAAAGAUUUUUAGAAAUUUAUCGACUCAGAUAACAAAGAAGUCGAAUGACCUAGAUCGAUUAGGAUGAAAAUACUGACCACAAGACUGGAAAUCUGCGAAGUUGGAUUUUUCUGUUUUGACAAAAACGACGGUGUGAGAGAAGAGGAGAAGACAAAUUGAUUUGGGGAAGAAAAUGAUAAAUGAAAAAUGUUUUUUUUUUUUAUGAUUUUCUAACCAAUUCCCACGAAACACGUGGCAUAAGCCACUCUCUCAAAAGAGUCUUAACUUAGACUCGGAUAUCUCUUAGCUUUUCAC
This 740-nucleotide long non-coding RNA is filed under the name Capsella grandiflora. RNAcentral's name for it is "long non-coding RNA (CGRA_LNC000381)". The record is from RNAcentral. Lineage: Eukaryota; Viridiplantae; Streptophyta; Magnoliopsida; Brassicales; Brassicaceae.